RNAcentral lists this ribosomal RNA (374 nucleotides) under uncultured bacterium. Its description in RNAcentral is "bacterial SSU rRNA". It matches the Rfam family "Bacterial small subunit ribosomal RNA", at positions 406 to 796 of the family's 1533-position model. The record is from RNAcentral.
GGAAGAAGUGCUUCGGUAUGUAAACUGCUUUUGUAGACUACUAAUUUUUGAAGAGUCUAAGAAUAAGAGGUUGCUAAACUCGUGCCAGCAGCAGCGGUAAUACGAGUGCCUCAAGCGUUAUCCGGAAUUAUUGGGCGUAAAGGGUGUGUAGGUGGUUUUAUUAGUCUCUCGUCAAAUCUCUCGGCUUAACCGAGAGCCUGCGAGGGAAACGGUAAGACUUAGAGUGUGCGAGGGGUCUGCGGAACUCAUGGUGUAGCAGUGAAAUGCGUUGAUAUCAUGGGGAACACCAAAAGCGAAGGCAGCAGACUGGAGCAUUACUGACACUGAAACACGAAAGCGUGGGUAGCGAAUGGGAUUAGAUACCCCUGUAGUCC